Molecule: long non-coding RNA, 391 nt
Organism: Oncorhynchus nerka (sockeye salmon)
Lineage: Eukaryota; Metazoa; Chordata; Actinopteri; Salmoniformes; Salmonidae
Exons: 3
Source: RefSeq, a predicted model, not a curated record
CCUACUGAGCCCUCCUCCUCCCCUGAUGUAGACUGUGGUCUGUGUUGGAUGUUGCUGUUCAGUCUGUGUCCUGUGUCUGCUCUCCUCUCCUCUCUCCUCUCCUCCACCUGUGUCUACUCCUUCUGCAGAACAACAGCUCCAACCGACUCUCAGAUCAAGACGACCAUCAGGGGAAGUGAGAGCAGAUUACAGGAGGAAGGAGACCUGUUUUACGCCUCGUUGGAUAUCCGAGGACCGAGGACACCAAAGAAGAAGACAGUCCAGAACUCUGACUUCAGUACCUACUCAGCCAUCAAUACCAGCAGAGUGUGAGACCUAUACCAGCCAUCAAAACCAGCAGAUUGAGACCUAUACCAGCCAUCAUUACCAGCAGUGUGAGACCUAUACCAGC